GAUGGCGAGUGGCGCACGGGUGCGUAACGCGUAUGCAACCUACCUGUAACACUGGGAUAGCCUUUGGAAACGAAGAUUAAUACUAGAUAGUCUUAUUUUGUUGCAUGAUAGAAUAAGUAAAGAUUUAUUGGUUACAGAUGGGCAUGCGUUGCAUUAGCUAGAUGGUGAGGUAACGGCUCACCAUGGCUAUGAUGCAUAGGGGGCCUGAGAGGGUUAUCCCCCACACUGGGACUGAGACACGGCCCAGACUCCUACGGGAGGCAGCAGUGAGGAAUAUUGGUCAAUGGAAGAGAUUCUGAACCAGCCAUGCCGCGUGCAGGAAGACUGCCCUAUGGGUUGUAAACUGCUUUUUUGAGGGGCUAAAAUGAUGUAUUAUUACGUUACUGAAUGUACCUUAAGAAUAAGCACCGGCUAACUCCGUGCCAGCAGCCGCGGUAAUACGGAGGGUGCGAGCGUUAUCCAGAAUUAUUGGGUUUAAAGGGUCUGUAGGCGGCUUAUUAAGUCAGUGGUUAAAGGCAUUAGCUCAACUAAUGUACGCCAUAGAAACUGGUGAGCUUGAAUUAUUUUGAAGUAUGGGGAAUGUGUGGUGUAGCGGUGAAAUGCAUAGAUAUCACACAGAACACCG
This 625-nucleotide ribosomal RNA is filed under the name uncultured bacterium. RNAcentral's name for it is "bacterial SSU rRNA". It matches the Rfam family "Bacterial small subunit ribosomal RNA", at positions 87 to 711 of the family's 1533-position model. The record is from RNAcentral.